RNAcentral lists this ribosomal RNA (691 nucleotides) under uncultured bacterium. RNAcentral describes it as "bacterial SSU rRNA". It matches the Rfam family "Bacterial small subunit ribosomal RNA", at positions 32 to 715 of the family's 1533-position model. The record is from RNAcentral.
AACGCUAGCUACAGGCUUAACACAUGCAAGUCGAGGGGCAGCAUUGGAGUAGCAAUACUUCAGAUGGCGACCGGCGCACGGGUGAGUAACACGUAUCCAACCUGCCGCUUACUCGGGGAUAGCCUUUCGAAAGAAAGAUUAAUACCCGAUGGUAUAAAGAGUUCGCAUGUUCUCUUUAUUAAAGAAUUUUGGUAAGCGAUGGGGAUGCGUUCCAUUAGAUAGUUGGCGGGGUAACGGCCCACCAAGUCUACGAUGGAUAGGGGUUCUGAGAGGAAGGUCCCCCACAUUGGAACUGAGACACGGACCAGACUCCUACGGGAGGCAGCAGUGAGGAAUAUUGGUCAAUGGGCGAGAGCCUGAACCAGCCAAGUCGCGUGAAGGAAGAAGGAUCUAUGGUUCGUAAACUUCUUUUGCAGGGGAAUAAAGUGCAGGACGUGUCCUGUUUUGUAUGUACCCUGAGAAUAAGGAUCGGCUAACUCCGUGCCAGCAGCCGCGGUAAUACGGAGGAUCCGAGCGUUAUCCGGAUUUAUUGGGUUUAAAGGGUGCGCAGACGGGUCGUUAAGUCAGCUGUGAAAGUUUGGGGCUCAACCUUAAAAUUGCAGUUGAUACUGGCGUCCUUGAGUGCGGUUGAGGUGUGCGGAAUUCGUGGUGUAGCGGUGAAAUGCUUAGAUAUCACGAAGAACUCCGAUUG